UGACGUAGACAGGGGAGCGCCGCCGGGCGCUGAGAGUGCGAACGCAGACCCUACGAACCUGAUCCGGAUCAUGCCGGCGAAGGGAGUCGCAAUCUCCGGGUC
RNAcentral lists this non-coding RNA (102 nucleotides) under Bowdeniella nasicola. RNAcentral's name for it is "Actinomyces nasicola TPP sequence". It matches the Rfam family "TPP riboswitch aptamer (THI element)". From Rfam's summary of the family: Vitamin B(1) in its active form thiamin pyrophosphate (TPP) is an essential coenzyme that is synthesised by coupling of pyrimidine and thiazole moieties in bacteria. The previously detected thiamin-regulatory element, thi box was extended, resulting in a new, highly conserved RNA secondary structure, the THI element, which is widely distributed in eubacteria and also occurs in some archaea. The record is from Rfam by way of RNAcentral. Lineage: Bacteria; Bacillati; Actinomycetota; Actinomycetes; Actinomycetales; Actinomycetaceae.